AACGAACGCUGGCGGCAUGCCUAACACAUGCAAGUCGAACGAGACCUUCGGGUCUAGUGGCGCACGGGUGCGUAACGCGUGGGAAUCUACCCUUGGGUUCGGAAUAACAGUUAGAAAUGACUGCUAAUACCGGAUGAUGACGUAAGUCCAAAGAUUUAUCGCCCAAGGAUGAGCCCGCGUAAGAUUAGCUCGUUGGUGGGGUAAUGGCCUACCAAGGCGACGAUCUUUAGCUGGUCUGAGAGGAUGAUCAGCCACACUGGGACUGAGACACGGCCCAGACUCCUACGGGAGGCAGCAGUGGGGAAUAUUGGACAAUGGGCGAAGGCCUGAUCCAGCAAUGCCGCGUGAGUGAUGAAGGCCUUAGGGUUGUAAAGCUCUUUUACCAGGGAUGAUAAUGACAGUACCUGGAGAAUAAGCUCCGGCUAACUCCGUGCCAGCAGCCGCAGUAA
RNAcentral lists this ribosomal RNA (449 nucleotides) under uncultured bacterium. RNAcentral's name for it is "partial 16S ribosomal RNA". It matches the Rfam family "Bacterial small subunit ribosomal RNA", at positions 29 to 523 of the family's 1533-position model. The record is from RNAcentral.